CCCCGGGCCGGCUCCCUCAGUCCGAGCUGGCAGUUCAACAUCCCCUGGGUCGGCGCUGCAAACUUCUUUGGAUUGGGCCCAGAGGGUGUGUGAGCCGGCCUCCACCCAACCUCUUAAGGUUCAGAGACCCACCGUCGAAGGAGAGCCCCUUUUCGUGUUUUCCCCAUUACGCUUCUCUCCCCUCUUUGCUUAGAGCGCUCUUGCCUCUCUGGGGCUGCCUAACCAGUUUGCCCCACCAUGGGGAGCUAGUCUUCUUAAGGUGUGGGUCCUAGAGGGGCAGGGAGCAGGUCUGAGGCACAAUUGGGGAAUUUCAAACCCGAUUUUCCAGUUUAAAGAGGAGCUAGGUUUUAAGCUGAGAAGUCAGUGGGAGAUAACUUUGUGGCCUUUGGCGUUUUGGGGAAACAUCCAUCUGCAAGGCUGGUGUAAUUCAUUAAAAAGAUAUUGGGAAACCAUAUCUCAAGAGUUUCCCCAGAGAUUGUUUUAGAAACUCUCAAAUUAGAGAGAGGAGAUGUAUCUCGCGACCAGUACACUGAAUAGUAUCUUCCUUCAGACAGGGAUUGAGAAACGGAAAUACCACCACCCUCCAGCCAAACUUGUGAGGACUGAUUGCAGGGGAACUGGUGCUCCAGAUGUUGCACUAGAGGCACUGCAAGUGUGAGCAGGUGGCAGUGGAUCACCAUCGGAGGUUAUAUCAGAUGAUCUCAACAUUUCUGUUGACAUUUCCUUAUAUCUAUUUGCAAAAGGAGCCCUACAACCUUAUCUCUGUGCAGAGAUCAUCUUUCAAACUUUGCUCUGAUAUAAGCUGUUGUUCACCAGGGAGUUUUGGCAAGAGAAUUGACUGGAUCAACGAGUUCAUCCCAAUGCGGGAAAACAACUUGAAUUUCAUCGCUGUUGAUGACUUAAGAAGAAUUCUUCAUGCAUAACUACACUGGCAAUUGAGUGGCAGAAAACUCCUUUAGUACAACUGCGUUUUCUUUAAUCCCAUCUACCCAUGCAAUUGAAAAGUUCUGUUAGCAUUAAACAAUGAGCUAUGAGAGAACCAAGAUGGUGACAGAGGAGGUUCCUCCCUUUGCUCCCAAGAGCAACAUUUAAUAAUUAACCAGAAGUUCACUAUACCAAGAGAGUCCCAUGGCUUGGGGUGAAACUGAUGUGUCCAUGGACUUGUGAACAAGCACAGAAGAGACAUGGUGGAGAUUUUAUACUUCAUUAAACAAGAGGCAGAGAAAGAGCAUUGAGAUGCCUCCACACCCCAGUGUCCUGCAGGCAGAGCAGGUCCCCUGGAGGUCCUCCCUGCAGUGGGGAGCCAGUUUGUCCAUCAGCAGCUGCCUGUCUGUCCAUCAGCAGCCACCUCCCACACCAUAUGGGACCUGCGUGGAAGAGAAGAGCCAAUAAAGCUCAAGCACAGAGUUACCUGUUUAGGAUGCUCUUUUGCCAGCAAAAUCCCCCUGGGGCAGGCUGCACAGACCUGCUUUUCAAGGCUCAGAUGGAAACCAGGAGGCCCUAGGAGGUGCUUCACCAGUUCGGUUGCCCUCCUGGCCUUUUACCUGCUCUGCUCCAGGGACAUCAGUGCUGCCCAGACUUCUGUGCUGCAGUUCUAGUGAAGACCAUUAUCUUCUACAAUAUGAACAAUUCCAUCAGUAGAAUUAUUGGUAUAAUUUCCUUUACUGAUGUCAUUAGAUUCUGCAAAUAGAAAACCUAUGUUCAAAUUCCACUGUCAUAAUUUCUAGCCAUUGAAUUUAGGGUUAAGGAGCAAAACUGAACUUCACCAUGAAGCUCUCCUAAAAUUUUGAUUUAUCGUUACUUUCUCAAGAUUCAUUUUGAAUUAGAUCAUGUUCUUCUUGUAAACUUUCAUGGAAGGAUUUCAAAAUGAGUGAGAUAAUCAGAAAUGAAAUUUCCAGAAACUUAUGAAAGUCUUGACCUUGAAAUGCAUUGUCAUCCUAAGAAGUUUUGACUAUCUCAAAGGCAAAGAGAUGACAUAAACAUCAUUCCUGCUGCAAUGUGAAAAAUGGAUGAAGUAGGGCAAUACUGCAGGAGUGAUGCAAAUUAUGCCUAUAGGAAACAGUAUGCUUCUAACUUGGAGAAAUAUAUUAUUUCUAAUUGGAGACACACAGAAACACUAUGGAGAAUUGCCUCUUAACAGGAAGUUCAGAGACAUGGCUAAAGGUGUGCUCCUGCCCGGUCAGCUUGCUUCACAAUGGGCUUCCUUUCUGCAGCUGCUGUUUCCCACUCAUCCACUUUGGUGCUACACGGUGGGGUCCACGUAUGGACUUUAUUAUUAAUGAAGAGAUGUACUGCUUCUGCUGGGAUAGAUUGAAUACAUUCUGCUGGGAUAGAUUGAAUACCUGCUUCAAAUCGUCUUACAUGUUUUCUUGGUGGAAAAACAAUCAUUGGAGAAUCAUCUUUUUAAUGUCAACCAAAAUGGAAACACAUCGAGACAUUUAGGGUGCCACAGUGCCCGGAAGUUAAUGUUGCCAGUGUUUUACAAGCUUUGGCAAAAGAAGUUUCAAGACAGUGUGCCUCACUAGUGAGAAAUCAAAAAAGAGUGAAUUCCUUUUUGUCUCAGCUGCUCCUUAAAUCAAUCUAACUCCUACAAAUUAAUGUGAAUCGAAACAUGCAUUGCCUUUUCAACUUAAUUGAGUGCUUACUAAGUGUGAAUCACUACACAAAAUAGGGGAGGGAAAAUGAGGGAGACAAAUAAGAUGUAAUCCUUGCCUUUAAUGAAUUUACAAGUAGUUUCAGGGCACAUUUUCCUUUUUGGUCUUCUGCUCUUAAUUAAGUGUCUCGAAGACAGGAAAUAAAUGAAUGGAAAAGGAUAUUUGUAAGUAUUUUACUCCUUUUAAUAAAAAACAAAACCAAAAAAAUCUCCUAAUGUGGGCAACUCAGGACAUCUUAAUUCCAUUGUUUUUAGACUUUCUGUAAGUAGGAUUCAUUUUAUGCAUUUCAUAAAUAUUCAGUAGAUUUUAGAGAUAUUAAUAUAUUAUCAUUUGAGUUAAUUUGAAUUAAAUUUUAAUUUUUCCCCUUAGGUAUAGACUAUCAAAAAAUAUGUUUAUACAUUUCUUGGUGAGUCUGGAGGUGAAUUACAUUGUUGUCAUGAUAGAUCUCUAACUUCUGUACCCUCAAACUGCUAUUCUGAGUGAAAUAUUAACAUGGAGAAGGUGAAGACUUGAACCAAAGUUGGGGUUAUUGCCCUUGGAUCCAACAUAGGGCAGGGAAUGGCUCUGUACAAAAAUGUGGCUGAGUAACUCUUUUAGUGUUCUUUGUGUUGUCCUUUAUGUUCAAUAAUUUGACUGUACAGUUAAAAAAUUUAUUUCUGAUUUGGGAAUGUCAUGAUUUUUCCAGUGUUUCUGAUGUUAAUGAUAUGACCAUGGACACCAGAUACUUUAUAUAGUGUCUGUGACACAUUUUAGUAUGUAUGAGCCAACAAUCAACGUGUCUUUGUCUUGAGUAGUGUCCAUCUGAAUUGAAAAUGUGCCAGUUUUUUUUUUUAACUUCAUCAACAGACUUCUUAAUUAAGCUGCCAAUAUAUACUGUCAAUAGCACUGUGUGCUGUUUGAGAAAUGAGUUGUGUAAGUGUUGUUUCCCUCUUAUUAAAUAAACAGUGU
This is a long non-coding RNA of Talpa occidentalis (Iberian mole), 3602 nucleotides long. RefSeq lists it as uncharacterized. The record is from RefSeq and is a predicted model, not a curated record. NCBI's taxonomy places the organism in Eukaryota, Metazoa, Chordata, Mammalia, Eulipotyphla, Talpidae. The transcript has 13 exons.